RNAcentral lists this transfer RNA (72 nucleotides) under Vibrio chagasii. RNAcentral's name for it is "tRNA-Gly". It matches the Rfam family "tRNA". From Rfam's summary of the family: Transfer RNA (tRNA) molecules are approximately 80 nucleotides in length. Their secondary structure includes four short double-helical elements and three loops (D, anti-codon, and T loops). Further hydrogen bonds mediate the characteristic L-shaped molecular structure. tRNAs have two regions of fundamental functional importance: the anti-codon, which is responsible for specific mRNA codon recognition, and the 3' end, to which the tRNAs corresponding amino acid is attached (by aminoacyl-tRNA synthetases). tRNAs cope with the degeneracy of the genetic code in two manners: having more than one tRNA (with a specific anti-codon) for a particular amino acid; and 'wobble' base-pairing, i.e. permitting non-standard base-pairing at the 3rd anti-codon position. Lineage: Bacteria; Pseudomonadati; Pseudomonadota; Gammaproteobacteria; Vibrionales; Vibrionaceae. The record is from RNAcentral.
CACUAGCUCAGCUGGUAGAGCGCAACCUUGCCAAGGUUGAGGUCACGAGUUCGAACCUCGUGUGUCGCUCCA